UGAGGAAUAUUGCCCAAUGGCCGCAAGUCUGAGGCAGCAACGCCGCGUGGGCGAUGAAGGCCUUCGGGUUGUAAAGCCCUUUUCUGGGGGAAGAGGAAGGACGGUACCUCAGGAAUAAGUCACGGCUAACUACGUGCCAGCAGCCGCGGUAAUACGUAGGUGGCAAGCGCUAUCCGGAUUCACUGGGCGUAAAGCGCGUGCAGGCGGUUUCGUAAGUCGGACGUGAAAGCUCCUGGCUUAACUGGGAGAGGUCGUUCGAUACUGCGGGGCUUGAGGUCGGGAGAGGGACGUGGAAUUCCCGGUGUAGUGGUGGAAUGCGUAGAUAUCGGGAGGAACACCAGUGGCGAAGGCGACGUCCUGGCCCGCACCUGACGCUGAGACGCGAAAGCGUGGGUAGCAAACGG
Molecule: ribosomal RNA, 404 nt
Filed under: uncultured bacterium
Lineage: Bacteria
Description: bacterial SSU rRNA
Rfam family: Bacterial small subunit ribosomal RNA
Source: RNAcentral